This 196-nucleotide unclassified non-coding RNA is filed under the name uncultured fungus. RNAcentral describes it as "sequence contains ITS1, 5.8S rRNA gene". The record is from RNAcentral. Lineage: Eukaryota; Fungi. RNAcentral also lists the same sequence under 1 other name.
CACUCAGUAGAUUCUCUACUGCUCAGGGAGAGGGGAAAGUUUCCAGCAUGCUUCGGCGGCUGGUGACGAGUACGCUCUCUAUCUGAACCCUUGUCUUUUUGUGUACUCUUGUUUCCUCGGCGGGCCUGCCCGCCGGCUGGACAACUCUAUAACCUUUUUUAAUUCUCAAUCAGCGUCUGAAUAAAUAUAAUAAUUA